This 195-nucleotide long non-coding RNA is filed under the name Fukomys damarensis (Damara mole-rat). RNAcentral's name for it is "lncRNA (ENSFDAG00000029796.1)". Lineage: Eukaryota; Metazoa; Chordata; Mammalia; Rodentia; Bathyergidae. The record is from RNAcentral.
AGGGAUUUAACUCAGUUGCACCAAGCCUGCCUUGUAAGCACAAGGUCCUGAAUUUAAUCCCUGGUACCAAAACAAACAAACAAGAAAAGAAAAGGAAGCAGAGACCUAAGUUGAAGCCAGAAACGAGAACUUCCUCUGCAUGGUGUGAGAGUUUGGAAGGAAAAGAUUUGCAUACCUCCACCUGGAACCCAGAGC